This 140-nucleotide unclassified non-coding RNA is filed under the name uncultured fungus. RNAcentral's name for it is "sequence contains ITS1". Lineage: Eukaryota; Fungi. The record is from RNAcentral.
UUAGACUAUAUUUUAGAUUCAGACACAGACUUUACAGCAUAAAGGCGGCGCCAAAGCGCCGAAACACACUUUACCUCCACGGAGUUUGAAGGGUCGAAGGCCAUUCAUUAAUGAUCCCUCCGCAGGUUCACCUACGGAGA